Long non-coding RNA from Oncorhynchus tshawytscha (Chinook salmon), 303 nucleotides. NCBI's taxonomy places the organism in Eukaryota, Metazoa, Chordata, Actinopteri, Salmoniformes, Salmonidae. The record is from Ensembl.
UGUGUGUGUGCGUGGUACGUGUGUAUGAUUGUCUGUGAAGGUGUGUGUGUGUGGUACGUGUGUAUGAGUGUCUGUGAAGGUGUGUGUGUGUGGUACGUGUGUAUGAGUGUCUGUGAAGGUGUGUGUGUGCGUGGUACGUGCGUAUGAGUGUCUGUGAAGGUGUGUGUGUGUGGUACGUGUGUAUGAGUGUCUGUGAAGGUGUGUGUGUGUGUGGUACGUGUGUAUGAGUGUCUGUGAAGGUGUGUGUGUUAGAGGAAGAGGAUAAAGCCUCUCCAGCAGGGCCUUGGCUAGCUAUUAGCUGUA